Molecule: ribosomal RNA, 164 nt
Filed under: Tricholomataceae sp.
Lineage: Eukaryota; Fungi; Basidiomycota; Agaricomycetes; Agaricales; Tricholomataceae
Description: partial large subunit ribosomal RNA
Source: RNAcentral
AAACGCUUGAAGUCAGUCGCGUUUGGCGGGACUCAGCCUUGCUUUUGCUUGGUGUACUUCCUGUCAGACGGGUCAACAUCAGUUUUGACCGGUGGAUAAGGGCUUGGAGAAUGUGGCAUCUUCGGGUGUGUUAUAGCUUCAGGUCGUAUACAUCGGUUGGGACU